AUUGAACGCUGGCGGCAUGCCUUACACAUGCAAGUCGAACGGCAGCACGGGUGCUUGCACCUGGUGGCGAGUGGCGAACGGGUGAGUAAUACAUCGGAACAUGUCCUGUAGUGGGGGAUAGCCCGGCGAAAGCCGGAUUAAUACCGCAUACGAUCUACGGAUGAAAGCGGGGGACCUUCGGGCCUCGCGCUAUAGGGUUGGCCGAUGGCUGAUUAGCUAGUUGGUGGGGUAAAGGCCUACCAAGGCGACGAUCAGUAGCUGGUCUGAGAGGACGACCAGCCACACUGGGACUGAGACACGGCCCAGACUCCUACGGGAGGCAGCAGUGGGGAAUUUUGGACAAUGGGGGAAAGCCUGAUCCAGCAAUGCCGCGUGUGUGAAGAAGGCCUUCGGGUUGUAAAGCACUUUUGUCCGGAAAGAAAUCCUUGGCCCUAAUACGGUCGGGGGAUGACGGUACCGGAAGAAUAGGCACCGGCUAACUACGUG
RNAcentral lists this ribosomal RNA (486 nucleotides) under uncultured bacterium. RNAcentral describes it as "partial 16S ribosomal RNA". It matches the Rfam family "Bacterial small subunit ribosomal RNA", at positions 30 to 507 of the family's 1533-position model. The record is from RNAcentral.